Molecule: ribosomal RNA, 1053 nt
Filed under: Pseudomonas sp. AMF2809B
Lineage: Bacteria; Pseudomonadati; Pseudomonadota; Gammaproteobacteria; Pseudomonadales; Pseudomonadaceae
Description: bacterial SSU rRNA
Rfam family: Bacterial small subunit ribosomal RNA
Source: RNAcentral
ACACAUGCAGUCGAGCGGAUGAAGGAGCUUGCUCCUGGAUUCAGCGGCGGACGGGUGAGCAAUGCCUAGGAAUCUGCCUGGUAGUGGGGGACAACGUUUCGAAAGGAACGCUAAUACCGCAUACGUCCUACGGGAGAAAGCAGGGGACCUUCGGGCCUUGCGCUAUCAGAUGAGCCUAGGUCGGAUUAGCUAGUUGGUGAGGUAAUGGCUCACCAAGGCGACGAUCCGUAACUGGUCUGAGAGGAUGAUCAGUCACACUGGAACUGAGACACGGUCCAGACUCCUACGGGAGGCAGCAGUGGGGAAUAUUGGACAAUGGGCGAAAGCCUGAUCCAGCCAUGCCGCGUGUGUGAAGAAGGUCUUCGGAUUGUAAAGCACUUUAAGUUGGGAGGAAGGGUUGUAGAUUAAUACUCUGCAAUUUUGACGUUACCGACAGAAUAAGCACCGGCUAACUCUGUGCCAGCAGCCGCGGUAAUACAGAGGGUGCAAGCGUUAUCGGAAUUACUGGGCGUAAAGCGCGCGUAGGUGGUUUGUUAAGUUGGAUGUGAAAUCCCCGGGCUCAACCUGGGAACUGCAUCCAAAACUGGCAAGCUAGAGUAUGGUAGAGGGUGGUGGAAUUUCCUGUGUAGCGGUGAAAUGCGUAGAUAUAGGAAGGAACACCAGUGGCGAAGGCGACCACCUGGACUGAUACUGACACUGAGGUGCGAAAGCGUGGGAGCAAACAGGAUUAGAUACCCUGGUAGUCCACGCCGUAAACGAUGUCAACUAGCCGUUGGGAGCCUUGAGCUCUUAGUGGCGCAGCUAACGCAUUAAGUUGACCGCCUGGGAGUACGGCCGCAAGGUUAAAACUCAAUGAAUUGACGGGGCCCGCACAAGCGGUGGAGCAUGUGGUUAAUUCGAAGCAACGCGAAGAACCUUACCAGCCUUGACAUCCAGUGAACUUUCCAGAGAUGGAUUGGUGCCUUCGGGAACAUUGAGACAGUGCUGCAUGCUGUCGUCAGCCUCUGUCUUGAGAUGUUGGGUUAGUCCCGGUAACGGCGCACCUUGUCCUUA